AGUUGCGAAGGCGGCUCUCUGGACUGUAACUGACGCUGAGGCACGAAAGCGUGGGGAGCAAACAGGAUUAGAUACCCUGGUAGUCCACGCUGUAAACGAUGAGUACUAGGUGUCGGGGGUUACCCCCUUCGGUGCCGCAGCUAACGCAUUAAGUACUCCGCCUGGGAAGUACGCUCGCAAGAGUGAAACUCAAAGGAAUGGACGGGGACCCGCACAAGUAGCGGAGCAUGUGGUUUAAUUCGAAGCAACGCGAAGAACCUUACCUAAGCUUGACAUCCCAAUGACAUCUCCUUAAUCGGAGAGUUCCCUUCGGGGACAUUGGUGACAGGUGGUGCAUGGUUGUCGUCAGCUCGUGUCGUGAGAUGUUGGGUUAAGUCCCGCAACGAGCGCAACCCUUGUCUUUAGUUGCCAUCAUUAAGUUGGGCACUCUAGAGA
This 435-nucleotide ribosomal RNA is filed under the name Clostridioides difficile. Its description in RNAcentral is "bacterial SSU rRNA". It matches the Rfam family "Bacterial small subunit ribosomal RNA", at positions 711 to 1146 of the family's 1533-position model. Lineage: Bacteria; Bacillati; Bacillota; Clostridia; Peptostreptococcales; Peptostreptococcaceae. The record is from RNAcentral.